GACGAACGCUGGCGGCGUGCCUAAUACAUGCAAGUAGAACGCUGAAGAGAGGAGCUUGCUCUUCUUGGAUGAGUUGCGAACGGGUGAGUAACGCGUAGGUAACCUGCCUUGUAGCGGGGGAUAACUAUUGGAAACGAUAGCUAAUACCGCAUAACAAUGGAUGACACAUGUCAUUUAUUUGAAAGGGGCAAUUGCUCCACUACAAGAUGGACCUGCGUUGUAUUAGCUAGUAGGUGAGGUAAUGGCUCACCUAGGCGACGAUACAUAGCCGACCUGAGAGGGUGAUCGGCCACCCUGGGACUGAGACACGGCCCAGACUCCUACGGGAGGCAGCAGUAGGGAAGCUUCGGCAAUGGGGGCAACCCUGACCGAGCAACGCCGCGUGAGGGAAGAAGGUUGUCGGAUCGUAAAGCUCUGUUGUAAGUCAAGAACGGGUGUGAGAGUGGAAAGUUCACACUGUGACGGUAGCUUACCAGAAAGGAACGGCUAACUACGUG
This 497-nucleotide ribosomal RNA is filed under the name uncultured bacterium. RNAcentral describes it as "partial 16S ribosomal RNA". It matches the Rfam family "Bacterial small subunit ribosomal RNA", at positions 28 to 507 of the family's 1533-position model. The record is from RNAcentral.